RNA transcript from Zeugodacus cucurbitae (melon fly), 5895 nucleotides. It is a transcript of the gene named NPC intracellular cholesterol transporter 1, with no coding region annotated. The transcript has 14 exons. The record is from RefSeq and is a predicted model, not a curated record. Lineage: Eukaryota; Metazoa; Arthropoda; Insecta; Diptera; Tephritidae.
AUUUCUGAUGAUAAAAGCAAACGGAUUCGUUUAUUAUCUGCUCUUUGCCUUAUAAUCGCGGAGUCAGUGAUAUUUGUGAUUUUAUUUCCCAAACUUAUUGCAAAAUGCUUUGGAAAAAAAUUUAAAAGUGUAAAAGAAUAUAAAAUUUACCUUUGGCUAACACUGCGAAAGUUUAAAGAAACUUAAGUAUAGGAAUAUUUAAUAAGUGCUACGCAAAUUCAAUCCCCAGCGAGUCGCUGCUAAAUAUCGAUUUGUGCAAGGCGCUGGCGAGAGUGUGUAAACAUAUUUCUAUAUGUGCGGGCAUAUAUAGUUAAUGGAAUUUGUAUGCAUAUGCGUAAAUUGUGCUGACCUCCGCUGCAUCCAAAAAAGAGCAGUUAAACAAAAUCACUGAUUCAACUAUUAUAUUGAGACGAUACUAGUUUUCGCGGAGUUUUGCUGCCGUGUUGAAGACCGGCGGAUACUCCGUGUUGUAAAACAACAACAUUCGUGCUGAAAAUUACGAUGGCGCAAACAAAACAAAGUAGUCCGCAGCACAGCUAUCGUAUUAAAAGGUUUCAUCACCUUAUAUUUUUUGCUGUAUUGACAAAUCUUUUCGCUAACAGCUUGCAGGACUGCGUUUGGUAUGGUGUUUGCAAUGUUGAUCCCUUAAUGGGACACAAACAAUAUUGCGUUUACAAUGGCACAGCAAAGGUUAUGCCUGCCGAUGGAUUGGAAUUAAUGAAAGCGAGAUGUAGUCAUUUGCUGGAAGGUGGCGCUACUGAAUUUUGUUGUAAUAGCGAUCAGAUCUCCAUACUCAACGAAAAUAUAAAACUAGCUGCUAAUUUUCUCGAGCGCUGCCCAUCGUGUAUGGCAAAUCUUGUGCGUCAUUUAUGUGACUUAACGUGUUCGCCAAAACAAACGGAGUUCUCGAAGAUUGCUGAGACUAAAACCACACCGGAGGGUAAAGUUUAUGCUACCGCCUUGGAUUUACACAUAACCGCUGCUUAUAUGAAUAAUACGUACAAAUCAUGUUCACAGGUCUCCGUGCCAUCGACUGGUCAGAAGGCUUUUGAUUUAAUGUGUGGCAGUUACAUGGCCGCACGUUGCAGUCCAACAAAAUGGUUUGGUUUUAUGGGCGAUAAGGAUUCCAAUCCGUAUGUACCGUUUCAAAUCAACUAUAUACAACAUGAAAAUAGCUCAGCCAUAAUAAAUGGCUUUACGCCUUUGAAUUCGAAAACCACACCAUGUAAUGAGAAAUUGAAUGAUAAAACUCCCGCCUGUGGUUGCAGCGAUUGUGAGGCUUCUUGCCCGAUACCCGUACCGGAGCCACCACGUCCGGAACCCUUUAAAAUUGCCGGUCUCGACGCGUUCGCUGUGAUAAUGACAGUUGUCUUUUUCGUAGGCGCACUGCUCUUUCUCAUGGGCGUAUGCCUAUUUCCCUCCAAAAGAAGUGAAAUAGGUGAUGGUUUGGAUAGUGGGCUUCGUAGCGCCACAAUAAACAACCGAUUCACUGGACAAGUGAGUAACGAGUUCGCACCUGAGGAGGAUUCCCCACUACAAUCGAAAAUGGGCAAUGAUGAAAACGAAGUUGACGGUGCACCACAGGGUACGCUUGAUGAAUACGAGACUGGUUAUUUCGAAAAUCUCGGCGCUAGGACCGAGAAAUGUCUGGAAUCAUUUUUCACCACUUGGGGCAAAUUCUUCGCAAGUCGCCCGAAAUUGACACUAAUCGGUGGCAUUUGUUUUGUUAUCGCUAUGGGUUAUGGCAUUAAAUUCCUACACAUCACAACCGAUCCGGUACAGUUGUGGGCGUCACCGCAAUCGAAAUCGCGUAUUGAACGUGAAUUUUACGAUUCGAAAUUUCAACCGUUCUAUCGCAUCGAACAGAUAAUCAUCCACGCCGUCGAUUUGCCCGAUAUCGUACACAAUACAUCUAACGGUCCAAUACAUUUUGGCCCAGUUUUCGAUAAAGCAUUUCUCACACAAGUCCUAGAGCUCCAGGAAGACAUUAUGAAUUUAGGUAGAAAUAGUAAUGGCACAGUUUUGGAAGAUAUAUGCUUUGCCCCGCUAUCCAGCGAGAGCACCGCCAAAAAGGAUGUAUCUAAUUGCAUUGUGCAAUCCAUUUGGGGUUAUUUCGGUAACGAUUUGGAGCGUUUGAAUGAGACUGAAGAGGAUGGCAAUUUCGAGGUUACCUACUUGGAUGGCUUGUAUCAAUGUAUGAGUAAUCCAUAUCUCUGUUUGGCACCUUAUGGCGGACCGGUGGAUCCAGCUGUAGGCCUGGGCGGUUUUUUGUCACACGGUGAACAAUUAUCUGGCGAUACGAAAUUCGAGCGUGCAAAUGCCAUUAUACUAACCUUCCUGGUGAAUAACUAUCAUGAUAAGUCCAAACUGGGUCCGGCAUUGGAGUGGGAGAAACGUUAUGUAGAGUUUAUGUUGAACUACACGAAGACACGCAUGGGCAAACAUAUGGAUAUUGCAUUUACUUCAGAGCGUUCGAUUGAAGACGAACUAAAUCGUGAAUCGCAAUCCGAUGUCAUGACCAUACUCGUUUCCUAUUUAAUUAUGUUUGCGUAUAUUGCGAUCUCUUUGGGUCAUGUGCAGGAGGUGCGUCGCGCGUUAAUCGAUAGUAAAAUUACUUUAGGCGUUGGUGGCGUGAUCAUAGUGUUGGCCUCCGUUGUCUCUUCGGUUGGCGUAUUCGGCUAUAUUGGCGUGCCAGCCACACUAAUUAUCGUCGAAGUUAUACCCUUCCUAGUGUUGGCCGUGGGUGUCGAUAACAUCUUCAUAUUGGUGCAAACGUAUCAGCGUGAUGCACGUCGCGCCGAUGAAACGCACGAGGACCAUAUUGGUCGUAUAUUGGGACGUGUGGGACCUUCUAUGCUGCUGACUUCGGUUAGUGAAAGUUGUUGCUUCUUCUUGGGCGGUCUUUCGGAUAUGCCCGCGGUAAGGGCUUUCGCAUUGUACGCUGGCAUGGCGCUACUCUUCGAUUUCAUAUUGCAAAUCACAUGUUUCGUUAGUCUGCUAACGCUCGACACUAAACGUCAAGCUGAAAAUCGUUUGGACAUAUUCUGUUUUAUACGUGGCAAGAAGAGUGAUGCCCUACCACACACCGAGGGUUUGCUGUACAAAUUCUUCAAGAGCGUCUAUGUACCAUUCCUAAUGCAAAAGACUAUGCGUGUUAUCGUUAUGAUCAUAUUCUUCGGUUGGUUGUGCAGCAGCGUUGCCAUUGCGCCACGCAUUGAAAUCGGUUUGGAUCAGGAGUUGUCAAUGCCGCAGGACAGUUUUGUUCUACACUAUUUCCAAGCGCUAAACAAAUAUUUAAGUAUUGGUCCACCAGUGUACUUUGUGUUAAAAUCCGGUUUGGAUUUCUCCAAAACAUUCCAUCAAGAUCUUGUUUGUUCCGGGAAGUAUUGUAAUGAUGACAGCAUGUUGACGCAAAUCUAUUUGGCCAGUCGUCGCGGCAAUAUGACAUACAUUGCACGUCCUGCCUCCAGUUGGAUCGAUGACUACUUCGAUUGGAGUCAGUCGUCAAGUUGCUGUAAAUAUUAUCCGAAAACUGGCGACUUUUGUCCACAUCAAAAGACUGAAUGUGACAGCUGCGAAAUUGAUAAAACCGAUCGUCAACGUCCUACAGCGCAUGAUUUUGGCAAAUAUCUAACGUUCUUCUUGCGCGAUAAUCCCGACGAUAGCUGCGCCAAAGCCGGACAUGCUGCUUACGGCAAUGCCGUACAGUAUAAAACUAAUCCGAGUACAAAUCUCUCUACCGUCGAAGCAACCUCAUUUAUGGCAUACCAUUCCAUAUUGAAGACAUCCGCCGAUUUCUAUGAAUCACUACGUGCAGCACGUAAAAUCUCUGCCAAUAUAACGCAUAUGUUGCGCGGCCGUUUAAUGUCACAGGGUGUGCCGUUCGAGCAAACACUCGAUAUUGAAGUAUUUCCAUAUUCGGUCUUUUAUGUAUUCUACGAACAGUAUUUAACCAUGUGGCCCGAUACGUUGCAAAGCAUGGGCAUUUCAGUGCUCGCCAUAUUUAUUGUUACAUUCGUGCUAAUGGGUUUCGAUAUACACUCAUCACUGGUGGUGGUGAUAACAAUCACAAUGAUUGUUAUAAAUUUGGGUGGCAUCAUGUACUAUUGGAAUAUAUCAUUGAAUGCGGUGUCGCUGGUGAAUCUUGUUAUGGCCGUUGGCAUAUCGGUGGAGUUCUGCUCGCAUCUGGUGCAUAGUUUCUCGAUUUCAAUGGAGAGUACACGUGAGAAGCGUGCCGCAGAUUGUCUAACUAAAAUGGGCAGUUCGAUAUUUUCCGGUAUUACUUUAACGAAAUUCGGCGGCAUUUUAGUUUUGGCUUUUGCCAAGAGUCAAAUAUUCCAAGUAUUCUAUUUCCGUAUGUAUUUGGGUAUUGUGCUGAUUGGCGCUGCUCACGGACUUAUAUUCCUGCCGGUGCUACUCAGCUAUAUUGGUUAGUGAUCAAAUCAAGUAUCUAAGAAAAUUUAAAAUAUGGCGCACCGAUUAACAAAGCCAAACUGGUCAAUUAUCAACGACAGGCCUAUAAAGUGCAAGAAACAUCGCUAUCUACGACGUGAUGCGAAUCGAUAAUUUACCAAAGAGACGACUCACCGUCAAGUCCAAAAAUUAUCAUCCAACCAACACCAUCAACGAGCAUAUUCACAUUUUUUCAUCAAUACAUCGGCAGGGCGUGUCUUUAUCGUGCAGCGGAGGUAUGAAGAUGACAAAUGAUGUGAUGAUAAUGUAAAAAUCAAAACCAAAAACAAACCACAAAAAAAAGAAACAAGAAAGCAUAACGCCCCAGUCAAGUUAGAAAGUGAGCAUGUGUAAGUGACGGAGUAGCGAAACUUUAUUUGCACUUGUAACAGUUCAGGAAACAGUAAAAAAAAAAAUUAUAGGGUACAAAGGAAAUAUAAAUGUAUGUAUGUAGUUUAUUGUUUUUAAUUUUUUCCCCCGAAUGCGAGUAUUACAGAAAUAUGUGAAAAAGACAAACAAAAACAAAGAUUUCUUUACGAAGUAAUUUAUAUAUAUACACAAACACACACACCCGUGUACGCAAACAAAAAAAACGUUAGUUGUGAGGUUCGUAAAAGGCUUUUGUAUUGAAAAAAAAAUAAAAUAAAAAUAAAUUAUUUCAAACAAGCACCAAUAUGUACCCAGCCUAAAUCGAGCUCUGUGAUAAACUUAGGUACAGGAAAAAGUGAACAAAUCAUAAAAAUUAAAUACAAUGAUAAAUAAACUAUAGAAGACAAAAAAAAAAAAAACAGCAACAACAUUUGUAUUGAACAAAAUAUGCAAUCAUAUUUCCAUAGACUGGUCAACUAGGCAGUAGCUGCAGCACUGAAAGCAUUCGUGUUUGGCUUUAGAUUUUGAAAGCCGUUAGUAUUUUUUUGGCAUUUUUCAAUUAGAUAUUUUUAAUUAUCAAGCGUUCUCUUAUACAUACAUAAUAGAAUACAUUUCCAUAUAAAUAUUCACACAAAUACAAAAAAUAUGCUCAUACAUAUGUUUGUAUGUUCUACAGAAAUAUUCAUGCAUACCUAAAUAUUACAUUUUUUAGUAUAUACAUACAGAUAUCACGCCUAUUGGGCUUAUAUAUUCUCAGCAUUCAUUAAUUUUUAUUUUCGAAUAUCUUUUUGCUAAUUGGAUUAAAGCGAAUUGAAAUUAUUUUUUAGCUUACAUAUUUUUUUCUAAAUUAUUAUUAUUAUUUGCAUGCUUCGGAGAGUCCGUAUUAUACAUAUAUACGACUUGUUUGUGUGUAUAAAUGUAGCAUAUUUAGACUAUAUUAGCUAGCGAUAUUAGUACUUUGGAAAACUUAAAAAUGUAUUUUUAGGUUAAAUGAAUUAUAUAUUAUAUUAUUUGAAAUAAAAAGCACUGUAAUAAAAUUAUUUAUAAACUGUGUGACAAUGCACUUUUCACAAA